Molecule: ribosomal RNA, 350 nt
Filed under: uncultured bacterium
Lineage: Bacteria
Description: partial 16S ribosomal RNA
Source: RNAcentral
GGGCGUUGUUAGGUUGGGUUGGGAGAAGGUGGGGUAAGUUCCGUUAAGGGGGGCAACCUUGUCCUUAAGUAACAGGAAGUUAUGGGGGGCAAUUUAAGGAGGAUGCCGGGGACCAACCGGGGGGAGGUGGGGAAGAAGUUAAGUUAUUAAGGCCCUUACGGGCUGGGGUAAAAAAGGGGUACCAUGGUUGGGAACGAGGGUUGCCCAACCGGGGGGUGGGAGUUAUUCCACUAAACCGGUUGUUAUUCGGGUUGCCGUUUGCCAAUUGGAUGGGGGGAAUUGGGAUUGGUUGUGUAUUGGGGAUUCAGGAAGUUCCGGGGGAAGAGGUUCCGGGUUCUUUUACACGCAUC